This 292-nucleotide ribosomal RNA is filed under the name uncultured bacterium. Its description in RNAcentral is "partial 16S ribosomal RNA". It matches the Rfam family "Bacterial small subunit ribosomal RNA", at positions 505 to 796 of the family's 1533-position model. The record is from RNAcentral.
GUGCCAGCAGCCGCGGUAAUACGUAGGGCGCAAGCGUUAUCCGGAUUUAUUGGGCGUAAAGAGCUCGUAGGCGGUUUGUCGCGUCUGCCGUGAAAGUCCGAGGCUCAACCUCGGAUCUGCGGUGGGUACGGGCAGACUAGAGUGAUGUAGGGGAGACUGGAAUUCCUGGUGUAGCGGUGAAAUGCGCAGAUAUCAGGAGGAACACCGAUGGCGAAGGCAGGUCUCUGGGCAUUUACUGACGCUGAGGAGCGAAAGCAUGGGGAGCGAACAGGAUUAGAUACCCUAGUAGUCC